CGCCGAGCAUCUGUCCCACGCAAGGAAAUUACAUACGCAGAUGCGCGAACAUUUAUGCCGUAACAAGAUUUUCUCACCUCUGCACAUGUGCAAGAAUUACAGAGAACAACACUUUAGGCCCUGCGGGUGAAGGGUGGGACCAGAGUCACAGCUCUCAUGAGCAUGGAAUCAAUUACAUGCAGAUAAGCUCCAAGGCCGCAAACUUUUAAAGAAACGGACGCCAUCAGAGGACUACUGUGACUUAAGGAAGUAUAUGGACUGUGAGAUACAGGAGGACAACAAUAAUAAUAAUAAUAAUAAAAGGCUCCACAUCACAAAAAGAUGGAAACAGUUGUGGGACUUUUGUGCUACUGGUGAAUGCUCUUACCCUGAGUAUCCGUCCCAGACAACUGGUACACCAUGAUGUAGAAUGAGGAUGUUCAUGUACAACAAACUCGAGUAAAAUGCAAGCCCUCCAGUUGUAAUGUUCAAUUCCAGUGUUUGUGUGUGUAAACACAUGUACUCAAAUUUAUUGUCUGUUGUAGUUACAUGCAUGACAACCUGUACUUUGUAACCAAACAAAUCAUACUUUUAGCCAACAGACUUGCUUUAAAGUGUUAAAAAAAAAUAAAAAAAAAUGUGGUGGAGAGAAAAUGUGCCCUGUCACUUUAAGGAUCCGCCGCCAAUCCCAAACCUGAGAGUAUAAAACGGCUGCUCAUUUGAGUGCACCAGGUGUGUGAGACAGAAGUGUGGGGUGAACAGAAUUAGUGCAUGGAGAAAGUUUGCCCAGUGUACGUGUGAUAUCAGGAGCACCAUUGGAGUGAGAAAAGAACAAAGAGGACUACAAGAAGGUACUAACUAGUGUUUAACAUUUUUUGCCUGGAUACAAAGAAUGGACCAAACCAUCUAACCAUUGACUCAAUGUUUAAAACAGAGUAGCGUGAGUAGCAGAGGAUUGCUGACCUGCUGAAGUGCUCUGUAGUAGAGUUAAGUUAGAUACAAGUUUCUGAAGUGCCAGGUGAUGACCUAGGUUUGCUGACCUACUCCAUACCUUUGGUUGUGACUCUACCUCUGUGUCCUUGAAGCCUCAAACCACAACCAAGUACUUUCCUAACAGCACCCUCUCAUUCUUGUAUUGCCUUGCAUUUGUGUAAGAUCUGUUUGCCUUUGUUCUUUUUAAAUAAUACACAAGUGAGAAUUGAAACUUUUUUUUUUUUUGUAUGUGUAUUCUUUGAGUUCAAACAACUGUGUGCAUUUUAACAUUGUGUAACAGGUGGCUUAGAGCUA
This is a long non-coding RNA of Myxocyprinus asiaticus (Chinese sucker), 1266 nucleotides long. RefSeq lists it as uncharacterized. The record is from RefSeq and is a predicted model, not a curated record. NCBI's taxonomy places the organism in Eukaryota, Metazoa, Chordata, Actinopteri, Cypriniformes, Catostomidae. The transcript is spliced from 4 exons.